RNAcentral lists this ribosomal RNA (479 nucleotides) under uncultured bacterium. Its description in RNAcentral is "bacterial SSU rRNA". It matches the Rfam family "Bacterial small subunit ribosomal RNA", at positions 337 to 833 of the family's 1533-position model. The record is from RNAcentral.
UCCUACGGGAGGCAGCAGUGGGGAAUAUUGGACMAUGGGCGCAAGCCUGAUCCAGCCAUGCCGCGUGAGUGAUGAAGGCCCUAGGGUUGUAAAGCUCUUUUGUGCGGGAAGAUAAUGACGGUACCGCAAGAAUAAGCCCCGGCUAACUUCGUGCCAGCAGCCGCGGUAAUACGAAGGGGGCUAGCGUUGCUCGGAAUCACUGGGCGUAAAGGGUGCGUAGGCGGGUCUUUAAGUCAGGGGUGAAAUCCUGGAGCUCAACUCCAGAACUGCCUUUGAUACUGAAGAUCUUGAGUUCGGGAGAGGUGAGUGGAACUGCGAGUGUAGAGGUGAAAUUCGUAGAUAUUCGCAAGAACACCAGUGGCGAAGGCGGCUCACUGGCCCGAUACUGACGCUGAGGCACGAAAGCRUGGGGAGCAAACAGGAUUAGAUACCCUGGUAGUCCACGCCGUAAACGAUGAAUGCCAGCCGUUAGUGGGUUU